AUAGUAUACCUCCACGGUAGUUCCGUGUCAUGGAGCCUAUCGUGGGGACCAACCUCCGUUGCACGGAGGACAAUUUUUUUUUUUUUUGAUUUCUAAUUAAUAGUCUGGUUUUGACCCGACCCAAACCAUAAUAACCCAAAUUUUCCCUUUUAAUUUCCCAAUCCCCCUCACUCUUUCCCCAAAUUUCAACCUAACGUGUUAGUUACCCCUUCAAAUUCUCUCAAAAAUUCCCCAAGCCCUAGCGUGUCACGCCAAAGUCACUUUCUUCUCUUCUCCACCAUCUUAAAUCAGUUAUUGUAGGGCUUGAUUGUGAUGAAAAUUAACAUGUUUUGAUGUAUUAUCAAGAAGCCUUUGGAUGAUGAGAGCAAUUGGAGUAAUAUGUGGAGUAUAAAGAAGUUGGAACAAGGUUUGGAAAGCAUGGCACAAAGCCCAAGAUCAAGAUAGUAUAUACGGUACUGGAAAGGAGGAAAAUGACAAUCCUCCAUUCUACGGAGCCUAGACUCUGCGUGAACCUCCUUGGCACACUAAUGAAUUAAAGGCCAAUGACAAUUUCCAGUGAAGGUUCGCGAUAGCCCUAUUCCACGGACCUUAGUAUCCGCGAUAGCCUCCGUGGCACAGAGGUUGAUUUAUUUCAGAAGGUGCAAUCUAGUGAACGCCUGUGAUAGCCUCGUGCAACCGACCUUAGUGUCCGCGCUGAACUCCCUGGCAUGGAGCUGAGUAAUUUUUGUCAUAUUUAGAAUAAGUGUAAAAGGGACACUUAAUCACAAUUGUAAACAUCUUGGCAUACAAAUAGCAAAGGCAAAAAUAAUUACGGGUGUUUUAUUAAGGUUCUUCCAUUUUUCAUCUUUGAACAUUGAAUUUGGUAAGAUUAAUUAUAUUUCUUUGAUGUUGAUUUCGAGUAUGAGUGGGUAAAAACCUUUGUUCUAGGGUGGAGUCCAAGAACAUGAUUAUAUUUUGAUAUUCUUAGAGUGGUUAACAUUGAUUUAUCGCAUGGGUUA
Long non-coding RNA from Capsicum annuum, 998 nucleotides. RefSeq lists it as uncharacterized. Lineage: Eukaryota; Viridiplantae; Streptophyta; Magnoliopsida; Solanales; Solanaceae. The transcript has 2 exons. The record is from RefSeq and is a predicted model, not a curated record.